Molecule: unclassified non-coding RNA, 273 nt
Filed under: Hevea brasiliensis (rubber tree)
Lineage: Eukaryota; Viridiplantae; Streptophyta; Magnoliopsida; Malpighiales; Euphorbiaceae
Source: RNAcentral
UCUUGUUUAUUUGCGUAUAUUCCUUUAUGAGAGCUUAUUCAGUUUGUUACUCAGAUUUCACUUGCUUAUUUUACAACGUGGGAUGUUUAUUUACUUGAUUUUUUCCCAGUACUGGAUGUUUUUUGGGUUUCCAGUGGUGGCGGGUUUGGAGAGUUGAGUCUGACAUCUCCUGUUAGAAGUGAAUCUGUUCAUGCUUGAUUUGCAAAAGUAUUGUAUAAAAUAGGAAUAAUCUGAGUGAUGUGUUUGUGAAGAUAUUGUAGUUUUAACGUUUGG